GACGAACGCUGGCGGCGUGCUUAACACAUGCAAGUCGAGCGGUAAGGCCCUUUCGGGGGUACGACGAGCGGCGAACGGGUGAGUAACACGUGGGUGACCUGCCCUCAGCUCUGGGAGUAAGCCCGGGAAACCGUGGGUCUAAUACUGGAUAUGACUCCAUGACGCAUGUUGUGGGGUGGAAAGCCUUGUGCGGCUGAGGAUGGGCCCGCGGCCUAUCAGCUUGUUGGU
RNAcentral lists this ribosomal RNA (228 nucleotides) under uncultured bacterium. RNAcentral's name for it is "partial 16S ribosomal RNA". It matches the Rfam family "Bacterial small subunit ribosomal RNA", at positions 28 to 253 of the family's 1533-position model. The record is from RNAcentral.